UACGUAGGGCGCAAGCGUUGUCCGGAAUUAUUGGGCGUAAAGAGCUCGUAGGUGGCUUGUCACGUCGGGUGUGAAAGCUUGGGGCUUAACUCCAGGUCUGCAUUCGAUACGGGCUGGCUAGAGGUAGGUAGGGGAGAACGGAAUUCCUGGUGCAGCGGUGAAAUGCGCAGAUAUCAGGAGGAACACCGGUGGCGAAGGCGGUUCUCUGGGCCUUACCUGACGCUGAGGAGCGAAAGCGUGGGGAGCGAACAGG
Molecule: ribosomal RNA, 253 nt
Filed under: uncultured bacterium
Lineage: Bacteria
Description: partial 16S ribosomal RNA
Rfam family: Bacterial small subunit ribosomal RNA
Source: RNAcentral